GAGUGUGGUAAUUUGAAAGAGUACAAUGUUAAUCUCUUAACGAGGAUCCAUUGGAGGGAAAGUGUGGUGCCAACAACCGCGGUAAUUCUAGUUCCAAUAGCGUAUUUUUAAGCUGUUCCAGUUAAAAAGCUCAUAGUUGGACUUUGGGAUGGGUCGGCCGGUCCGCCCUAGGUGUGCACCGGUCGUCUCGUCCCUUCUGUUGGCGAUGCGUUCCUGGCCUUAAUUAACCGGUUCGUGCCUUCAGCGCUGUUACUUUGAAGAAAUUAGAGUGAUCAAAGUAAGCCUACUCUAACGUCCCCUCACCUUUCCAGCAAGUUCGCAACAUACAAAGGGGGUAGGCGGUCCAACAUCCUUGGAGAGGCUUGUACAAGACUCAAGAGCCUUCUAGAUUCUUAGGGCAGACUAGAGAAUUCUAGGAUCCUUUUGGAAGAGCUAGAGACAUAUUCUAGGAAUGUAGAACAUGUAUUCAGUGUAUGUACUUAGGGACUUGUAUAGCAACAUUUAUCUACUCUUAGGCUUAGGGAGUAGUAUAAAUAGGAGAGUCAUUGUAUUUGUAAAUCAUCCAUCAACUGGAUAAUAAAAUACAAGUCCUCUCUUCCAAAGUUCUUUCUUUGUCUUUCUUCUUAUUCUCUUAGCGUUCUGAGUAGAAAGACUGACUUGAGCUUACGAGAUCGUGAAAAAUCGUGAGUAAGUUGUAAAGUGCCGCACGGAGUCUUGUCAGAUUCUCUAGGUCUGUGACAUUACGCUCUGUAUACAUUAGCAUGGGAUAACAUUAUAGGAUUUCGGUCCUAUUACGUUGGCCUUCGGGAUCGGAGUAAUGAUUAACAGGGACAGUUGGGGGCAUUCGUAUUUCAUAGUCAGAGGUGAAAUUCUUGUAUUUAUGAAAGACGAACAAAUGCGAAAGCAUUUGCCAAUGAUGUUUUCAUUAAUCAAGAACGAAAGUURGGGGCUCGAAGACGAUCAGAUACAAUCCUAGUCUCAACCAUAAACGAUGCCGACAGCGGAUCGGCGGAUGUUGCUUUUAGGACUCCGCCGGCACCUUAUGAGAAAUCAAAGUUUUUGGGUUCCGGGGGGAGUAUUGUCGCAAGGCUAAAACUUAAAGGAAUUGACGGAAGGGCACCACCAAGAGUGUUGCCUGCGGCUUAAUUUUACUCAACAUGGGGAAACUUACCAAGUCCAGACAUAGUAAGGAUUGGCAGACUGAGAGCUCUUUCAUGAUUCUAUGGGUGGUGGUGCAUGGCCGUUCUUAGUUGGUGGAGCGAUUUGUCUGGUUAAUUCCGUUAACGAACGAGACCUCAGCCUGCUAACUAGCUAUGCAAAGGAAUCCCUUCGCGGCCAGCUUCUUAGAGGGACUACGACCUUUUAGGCCGCGAAAGUUUGAGCCAAUAACAGGUCUGUGAUGCCCUUAGAUGUUAUGGGCCGCACGCGCGCUACGCUGAUGUAUUAAACGAGCUUAUAUCCUUGGCCGACAAGCCCGAGUAAUCUUUGAAAUUUCAUCGUGAUGGGGAUAGAUCAUUGCAAUUGUUGGUCUUCAACGAGGAAUUCCUWGUAAGCGCGAGUCAUCAGCUCGCAUUGACUACGGUCCUGUCCUUUUUACACACCGCCCAUCGCUCCUACCGAUUGAAUAAUCCAGUGAAAUGUUUGGAUCACGUUGACGUGGGCGAUUCGCUACCCGCGACGUCGUGAGAAGUCGAUUGAACCUUAUCAUUUAGAGAAAGGAGAAGUCGUCACAAGGUUUCCGUAGGUGAACCUACCGAAG
Molecule: ribosomal RNA, 1759 nt
Filed under: Solanum habrochaites
Lineage: Eukaryota; Viridiplantae; Streptophyta; Magnoliopsida; Solanales; Solanaceae
Description: bacterial SSU rRNA
Rfam family: Eukaryotic small subunit ribosomal RNA
Source: RNAcentral